AUUGAACGCUGGCGGCAUGCCUUACACAUGCAAGUCGAACGGCAGCACGGGUGCUUGCCCCUGGUGGCGAGUGGCGAACGGGUGAGUAAUACAUCGGAACAUGUCCUGUAGUGGGGGAUAGCCCGGCGAAAGCCGGAUUAAUACCGCAUACGAUCUACGGAUGAAAGCGGGGGACCUUCGGGCCUCGCGCUAUAGGGUUGGCCGAUGGCUGAUUAGCUAGUUGGUGGGGUAAAGGCCUACCAAGGCGACGAUCAGUAGCUGGUCUGAGAGGACGACCAGCCACACUGGGACUGAGACACGGCCCAGACUCCUGCGGGAGGCAGCAGUGGGGAAUUUUGGACAAUGGGCGAAAGCCUGAUCCAGCAAUGCCGCGUGUGUGAAGAAGGCCUUCGGGUUGUAAAGCACUUUUGUCCGGAAAGAAAUCCUUGGCCCUAAUACGGUCGGGGGAUGACGGUACCGGAAGAAUAAGCACCGGCUAACUACGUG
Molecule: ribosomal RNA, 486 nt
Filed under: uncultured bacterium
Lineage: Bacteria
Description: partial 16S ribosomal RNA
Rfam family: Bacterial small subunit ribosomal RNA
Source: RNAcentral